UACGGGGGGAGCAAGCGUUGUUCGGAUUUACUGGGCGUAAAGGGCGCGUAGGCGGCAAUUCAAGUCAGCUGUGAAAUCUCCGGGCUUAACUCGGAACGGUCAGCUGAUACUGCUUUGCUAGAGUGCAGAAGGGGCAAUCGGAAUUCUUGGUGUAGCGGUGAAAUGCGUAGAUAUCAAGAGGAACACCUGAGGUGAAGACGGGUUGCUGGGCUGACACUGACGCUGAGGCGCGAAAGCUAGGGUAGCAAACGGG
Molecule: ribosomal RNA, 253 nt
Filed under: uncultured bacterium
Lineage: Bacteria
Description: partial 16S ribosomal RNA
Rfam family: Bacterial small subunit ribosomal RNA
Source: RNAcentral